Molecule: long non-coding RNA, 211 nt
Filed under: Carica papaya (papaya)
Lineage: Eukaryota; Viridiplantae; Streptophyta; Magnoliopsida; Brassicales; Caricaceae
Description: long non-coding RNA (CPAP_LNC012957)
Source: RNAcentral
UUCUAGGCGGUUAAGUUUGGAUGUUGCAUACGAUGUGUGAGUUAUAGGAGUUGAUUCGAUCCUCCCCAUACCCUCCCGCGUCAAUAUAUGUAAUGAAAUUGAACAUAUGUUGUAAUCUCCUCGUAAGUAUGGUUUAGUUAUUAUGGGUGCACAACAUCUUUAAAAUCAUAUAAUUACUCAAGGAACAUAUAUAUUAUGUAAGACAUGAGGU